This 468-nucleotide ribosomal RNA is filed under the name uncultured bacterium. RNAcentral's name for it is "partial 16S ribosomal RNA". It matches the Rfam family "Bacterial small subunit ribosomal RNA", at positions 28 to 507 of the family's 1533-position model. The record is from RNAcentral.
GACGAACGCUGGCGGCGUGCUUAACACAUGCAAGUCGAACGGAAAGGCCCUGCUUUUGUGGGGUGCUCGAGUGGCGAACGGGUGAGUAACACGUGAGUAACCUGCCCUUGACUUUGGGAUAACUUCAGGAAACUGGGGCUAAUACCGGAUAGGAGCUCCUGCUGCACGGUGGGGGUUGGAAAGUUUCGGCGGUUGGGGAUGGACUCGCGGCUUAUCAGCUUGUUGGUGGGGUAGUGGCUUACCAAGGCUUUGACGGGUAGCCGGCCUGAGAGGGUGACCGGCGACAUGGGGACUGAGAUACGGCCCAGACUCCUACGGGAGGCAGCAGGGGGGAAUAUUGCACAAUGGGCGGAAGCCUGAUGCAGCAACGCCGCGUGCGGGAUGACGGCCUUCGGGUUGUAAACCGCUUUCGCCUGUGACGAAGCGUGAGUGACGGUAAUGGGUAAAGAAGCACCGGCUAACUACGUG